This 232-nucleotide long non-coding RNA is filed under the name Nicotiana benthamiana. Its description in RNAcentral is "long non-coding RNA (NBEN_LNC034622)". Lineage: Eukaryota; Viridiplantae; Streptophyta; Magnoliopsida; Solanales; Solanaceae. The record is from RNAcentral.
GUGAAGCAGAGUGUGAUGAAGAGGAGAGAAAAGGAGAAAAAAUGGGGUCAGAGAUAAUGAAAAAAGAGGAACCCAAGAAAGGGCUAAAAAGAGGGAGUUGAGAUGUAUUGUCAAAUCUUUUAAUGGCGGAAAAAAAAGAACGGAGGAAACAGAAGGGGCCACUAGUCAAGAUUCCACGCACACAUGCUCAACACUUUCUGCUACUGCAACAUUCAGCUCCGUUUGUACCUCU